CGGACAGACCCAGAGACCGGCCUGUUUAGAAGGCGCGUGCAGCACAAGCGCGCAGAAGCGCGAGUAGGGAACCGGGUUGCAGGCGGGGGGGGGCCCGCUUGUCAGCCCACUUGUGGAGAACCCGGAAUAGGGGCUACGUGGCCCUCCUCAGUGCCGUUGGAUUUCCAACGGCUAGUUUUCUAGACCGUUGGAUUUCCAACGGUAAAAAAAAUUUAAAUU
RNAcentral lists this long non-coding RNA (219 nucleotides) under Malus domestica (apple). Its description in RNAcentral is "long non-coding RNA (MDOM_LNC006221)". The record is from RNAcentral. Lineage: Eukaryota; Viridiplantae; Streptophyta; Magnoliopsida; Rosales; Rosaceae.